CCUACGGGAGGCAGCAGUGAGGAAUAUUGGUCAAUGGACGAGAGUCUGAACCAGCCAAGUAGCGUGAAGGAUGACUGCCCUAUGGGUUGUAAACUUCUUUUAUAUGGGAAUAAAAUGUUCCACGUGUGGGAUUUUGUAUGUACCAUAUGAAUAAGGAUAGGCUAACUCCGUGCCAGCAGCCGCGGUAAUACGGAGGAUACGAGCGUUAUCCGGAUUUAUUGGGUUUAAAGGGAGCGUAGGUGGAUUGUUAAGUCAGUUGUGAAAGUUUGCGGCUCAACCGUAAAAUUGCAGUUGAAACUGGCAGUCUUGAGUACAGUAGAGGUGGGCGGAAUUCGUGGUGUAGCGGUGAAAUGCUUAGAUAUCACGAAGAACUCCGAUUGCGAAGGCAGUUCACUGGACUGCAACUGACACUGAGGCUCGAAAGUGUGGGUAUCAAACAGGAUUAGAUACCCCGGUAGUC
RNAcentral lists this ribosomal RNA (460 nucleotides) under uncultured bacterium. Its description in RNAcentral is "partial 16S ribosomal RNA". It matches the Rfam family "Bacterial small subunit ribosomal RNA", at positions 338 to 795 of the family's 1533-position model. The record is from RNAcentral.